Molecule: ribosomal RNA, 663 nt
Filed under: uncultured bacterium
Lineage: Bacteria
Description: bacterial SSU rRNA
Rfam family: Bacterial small subunit ribosomal RNA
Source: RNAcentral
UCGAGCGAGUCUGCCUUGAAGAUCGGAGUGCUUGCACUCUGUGAAACAAGAUACAGGCUAGCGGCGGACGGGUGAGUAACACGUGGGUAACCUGCCCAAGAGAUCGGGAUAACACCUGGAAACAGAUGCUAAUACCGGAUAACAACAGAUGAUGCCUAUCAACUGUUUAAAAGAUGGUUCUGCUAUCACUCUUGGAUGGACCUGCGGUGCAUUAGCUAGUUGGUAGGGUAACGGCCUACCAAGGCGAUGAUGCAUAGCCGAGUUGAGAGACUGAUCGGCCACAUUGGGACUGAGACACGGCCCAAACUCCUACGGGAGGCAGCAGUAGGGAAUCUUCCACAAUGGACGCAAGUCUGAUGGAGCAACGCCGCGUGAGUGAAGAAGGGUUUCGGCUCGUAAAGCUCUGUUGUUGGUGAAGAAGGACAGGGGUAGUAACUGACCUUUGUUUGACGGUAAUCAAUUAGAAAGUCACGGCUAACUACGUGCCAGCAGCCGCGGUAAUACGUAGGUGGCAAGCGUUGUCCGGAUUUAUUGGGCGUAAAGCGAGUGCAGGCGGCUCGAUAAGUCUGAUGUGAAAGCCUUCGGCUCAACCGGAGAAUUGCAUCAGAAACUGUCGAGCUUGAGUACAGAAGAGGAGAGUGGAACUCCAUGUGUAGCGGUGAA